GAGUGGCGAAAGGGCGCACUAUACAUCGGAACGUGCCCUGUAGUGGGGGAUAGCUCGGCCAAACCCGGAUUAAUACCGCAUACCCCCUGAGGGGGAAAGUGGGGGACCGUCAAGGCCUCACGUUUUUGGAGGGGCCGAUGGUUGAUCACCUAGUUGGUAGGGUAAAGGCCUACCAAGGCGACGAUCAGUAUCUGGUCUGAGAGGACGAUCACCCCCACUGGGACUGAGACACGGCCCAUACUCCUACGGGAGGCAGCAGUGGGGAAUUUUGCAUAAUGGGGGAAACCCUGAUCCAGUAAUGCCGCGUGUGCGAAGAAGGCCUUCUGGUUGUAAAGCACUUUUGUCAGGGAAGAAAUCCUUUGUGCUACUACCCUAGGGGGAUGACGGCACCUGAAGAAUAAGCACCGGCUAACUACGUGCCAGCAGCUGCGGUAAUACGUAGGGUGCAAGCGUUAAUCGGAAUUACUGGGCGUAAAGCGUGCGCUGGCGGUUGUGUCAGACAGGUGUGAAAUCCCCCGGUUUAACCUGUGAAUUGCAUUUCUGACUGCACGACCAUAGUGUGUUUUCAUAGGGGUGGAAUUCCCCGCGCUGCAAUGAAAUGCGUUAGAUAUUUGCAGGAACACCCAUGUGGGAACGCACCCCCCUGCCAUAACACU
Molecule: ribosomal RNA, 656 nt
Filed under: uncultured beta proteobacterium
Lineage: Bacteria; Pseudomonadati; Pseudomonadota; Betaproteobacteria
Description: bacterial SSU rRNA
Rfam family: Bacterial small subunit ribosomal RNA
Source: RNAcentral